Molecule: ribosomal RNA, 510 nt
Filed under: Ligilactobacillus pobuzihii
Lineage: Bacteria; Bacillati; Bacillota; Bacilli; Lactobacillales; Lactobacillaceae
Description: bacterial SSU rRNA
Rfam family: Bacterial small subunit ribosomal RNA
Source: RNAcentral
AUCUUUUGACCAUCUGAGAGAUCAGAAUUUCCCUUCGGGGACAAAAUGACAGGUGGUGCAUGGCUGUCGUCAGCUCGUGUCGUGAGAUGUUGGGUUAAGUCCCACAACGAGCGCAACCCUUAUUGUCAGUUGCCAGCAUUCAGUUGGGCACUCUGGCGAGACUGCCGGUGACAAACCGGAGGAAGGUGGGGAUGACGUCAAGUCAUCAUGCCCCUUAUGACCUGGGCUACACACGUGCUACAAUGGACGAUACAACGAGUCGCGAGACCGCGAGGUUUAGCUAAUCUCUGAAAGUCGUUCUCAGUUCGGAUUGUAGGCUGCAACUCGCCUACAUGAAGUCGGAAUCGCUAGUAAUCGCGCUUCAGCAUGCCGCGGUGAAUACGUUCCCGGGCCUUGUACACACCGCCCGUCACACCAUGAGAGUUUGUAACACCCAAAGCCGGUGCGGUAACCAUUUGGAGCCAGCCGUCUAAGGUGGGUAUCAGAUGAUUGAGGGUGAAGUCGUAACAA